RNAcentral lists this ribosomal RNA (252 nucleotides) under uncultured bacterium. RNAcentral's name for it is "partial 16S ribosomal RNA". It matches the Rfam family "Bacterial small subunit ribosomal RNA", at positions 524 to 776 of the family's 1533-position model. The record is from RNAcentral.
GACGUAGGGGGCGAGCGUUGUUCGGAAUUAUUGGGCGUAAAGGGCAUGUAGGCGGUUCUGUAAGUCUGGCGUGAAAUGGUUCGGCUUAACCGAAUCCUGCGUCGGAAACUGCGGGACUAGAAUCACAGAGGGGAAAUCAGAAUUCCAGGUGUAGGGGUGAAAUCUGUAGAUAUCUGGAAGAAUACCAGUGGCGAAGGCGGAUUUCUGGCUGAUGAUUGACGCUGAGGUGCGAAAGUGCGGGGAGCAAACAGG